CCCUUGGGUCCGAAUUGUAAUUUGUAGAGGAUGUUUUUGGUGCGGUAUCUUCCGAGUUCCUUGGAACAGGACGCCUUAGAGGGUGAGAGCCCCGUACGGUUGAAUGCCUAGCCUUUGUAAAACUCCUUCGACGAGUCGAGUAGUUUGGGAAUGCUGCUCUAAAUGGGAGGUAAAUUUCUUCUAAAGCUAAAUACCGGCCAGAGACCGAUAGCGCACAAGUAGAGUGAUCGAAAGAUGAAAAGCACUUUGAAAAGAGGGUUAAAUAGCACGUGAAAUUGUUGAAAGGGAAGGAUUUAUGACCAGACUUUUCCUAGGCGAAUCAUCCGGUGUUCUCACCGGUGCACUUCGUUUAGUUUAGGCCAGCAUCGAUUUUCGGGGCGGGAUAAAAGCUUUAGGAAUGUGGCUCCCUCGGGAGUGUUAUAGCCUAUUGUAUAAUACCGCCCUGGGGAUCGAGGUACGCGCUUCUGCAAGGAUGCUGGCGUAAUGGUUAUCAAUCACCCGUCUUGAAACACGGACCAAGGAGUCGAACAUUUGUGCAAGUGUUUGGGUGUUAAACCCUCACGCGUAAUGAAAGUGAACGGAGGUGAGAGCCCUUUACGGGGUGCAUCAUCGACCGAUCCUGAUGUCUUCGGAUGGAUUUGAGUAAGAGCAUAAAUGUUCGGACCCGAAAGAUGGUGAACUAUGCGUGGAUAGGGUGAAGCCAGAGGAAACUCUGGUGGAGGCUCGCAGCGGUUCUGACGUGCAAAUCGAUCGUCAAAUCUGCGCAU
RNAcentral lists this ribosomal RNA (767 nucleotides) under Sporocadus sorbi. RNAcentral describes it as "partial large subunit ribosomal RNA". It matches the Rfam family "Eukaryotic large subunit ribosomal RNA", at positions 129 to 918 of the family's 3401-position model. The record is from RNAcentral. Lineage: Eukaryota; Fungi; Ascomycota; Sordariomycetes; Amphisphaeriales; Sporocadaceae.